Molecule: RNA transcript, 2655 nt
Organism: Cebus imitator (Panamanian white-faced capuchin)
Lineage: Eukaryota; Metazoa; Chordata; Mammalia; Primates; Cebidae
Gene: PWWP2B
Gene name: PWWP domain containing 2B
Exons: 4
Source: RefSeq, a predicted model, not a curated record
GGCGGCGGCGGCGGCGGCGGCGGGGCGGGGGCGGCCUGGGACGCGGCGGGAGCAUGGAGCCGCGCGCCGGCUGCCGGCUGCCCGUGCGGGUGGAGCAGGUCGUCAACGGCGCGCUGGUGGUCACCGUGAGCUGCGGGGAGCGCAGCUUCGCCGGGAUCCUGCUGGACUGCACGAAGAAGUCCGGCCUCUUUGGCCUACCUCCCUCGGCUCCACUGCCCCAGGCCGAUGACACCCCCGCCAGCAGCAGCCGUGGCCAGGCCCCUGAGGAGGGGGAAGCAGAGGUGAUGCAGCUGGGGCCCGACUCCCCGCCUCCUCCCCAAGGGGUCCAGUCCCCUGAGACAGCUGGCCCUGAGCCACCCCCGCCCCUCGUACCGCCGCUGCCCGCCGGAAGCCUGCCCCCAUACCCGCCGUACUUCGAAGGCGCCCCCUUCCCUCACCCGCUGUGGCUCCGGAACACGUACAAGCAGUGGGUGCCUCAGCCACCGCCCAGGACCAUCAAGCGCACCCGGCGGCGUCUGUCCCGCAACCGAGACCCGGGGCGCCUCAUCCUGAGCACCAUCCGCCUGCGGCCACGCCAGGUGUUGUGUGAGAAGUGCAAGAGCACGCUGAGCCCCCCAGAGGCCAGCCCCGGACCCCCGGCCGCACCCAGGGCCCGCAGGAGGCUGGGCAGUGGCCCAGACAGGGAGCUCCACAAGCCGGAGGAGCUGGAGAGCAGUGACCCCGUGGCUGCAGCCACCGCCAGGAGGAGCAAGAGGGAGAGGCGGGAGGAGGACAGGGCCCCUGCCGAGCAGGUGCCCCGAAGCCCGGUCAUUAAGAUCUCCUACAGCACGCCCCAGGGCAAGGGCGAGGUGGUCAAGAUCCCCUCCCGUGUGCACGGCUCUCUGGAGCCCUUCUGCCCCCAGCAGGCCCCAGAGGAUGAGGGCAGCCAGGACCCCGAGGUGCCAGACAGAGAGCUCCGGGACCGGCCGCCCAGCGCACCCUCGGCCUCCAUCCCCAAGCUGAAACUGACGCGGCCUGUGCUGCCCAGCACAGACCUGCCGCCCCCCAAGAUCCGCCUGAAGCCCCACCGCCUGGGGGACAGUGAGCACGAGCCCGUGUACCGUGCCGAGCUGGUGGAGGAGCUGAAUGGGUGCCCACGGGCCAGCUCGCCCAUGCCCUGUGCGGACGGCCCUGCCACUGGGCUGGCGGACUUGUCUUCCGGAAGUUCGGGUGAGGACGACGACCUCAAGAGCUGUCCCCAAGGUCCACAGGGACGCGGUGGCCUGGCUUUUCUUGUCAGCUGCCCGGAGGGGAGAGCGGACUGUGCCAGUGAGUUGGCGUGCAGCAGCGACAGCCUGGACGAGGCCAGAUCAUCCGGCUCAGAAGGGACGUCUGCAGACGCAGGCGACCUGUCGCCCAGCCACGGCGCGUCGGCGCCCUCCUCGUCCAGAGAGGUUCGCCCAACGGUGCCGCCCCUGACGGUGCGGCUGCACACGCAGAGCGUGUCCGAGUGCAUCACAGAGGACGGCAGGACUGUGGCCGUGGGGGACAUCGUGUGGGGUAAGAUCCAUGGUUUUCCUUGGUGGCCGGCGCGCGUUCUCGGCAUCAGCCUUGGCCAGAAGGAGGAUGGUGAGCCCUCUUGGCGAGAAGCGAAGGUCUCGUGGUUUGGUUCUCCGACUACGUCAUUCUUGUCUAUUUCAAAACUCUCCCCUUUCUCUGAAUUUUUCAAACUGAGAUUUAACCGUAAGAAGAAGGGGAUGUAUCGGAAAGCUAUAACCGAGGCUGCCAAUGCCGCGAGACACGUGGCCCCGGAAAUCAGGGAGCUCUUAACCCAGUUUGAAACGUAACUGGUUCCCUGACCAGGAACUGCUGAGAAGGAAGGGAAGAGGGCCUUGAAGCACAGCGUCCAGCGAGAAACCUGGCCUGGACUGGGAUCUGGGAAGGCUUCCUGGAGGAGGUGGCAGGAGCCAGGAUCUGAAUGGUCAGCGACGAUGAGGGUGCACCUGCCGUCCUGGAGCUGCCGGCCUCCUUCCAGGGACUCCUCCAGCCUUCCGGCCGGCUGCGGGCAGAGCCCACUGGGCAUGGUGGUCGGCCUGACGUGAGGCCCCCGGGACCAGCGGUGUGUCCAGGGAGGGGAUGACCCUGAGCCCAGCGGCUCCUCCCGCUGAGGAUGUUUCUUCCCGCCACUCAGCCUGUGGCUGCCCUGGCUCAGGAGGCAGCCGGAACUCGUGACAUGCUGGCUGCUGCUGCUGCCUGGUGGGCUGGGGUCCCGUGGAGGAAGUGGGCCUGCCGCCCCAGCCUUGCCUGCUGCCUUGCACACUGAGGACCCGUGGGGGAGCCAGGCCUGGCACCCCAGCCUCACCCAGCUGCUGGUGUGGGCGGCUGUGCCCCACCUCAGGGUCCCAGACACAGGCAUCUCGCAGGCUCAGCUUGGUCUCCUUCAGGCUUCAGAAAAUCCCAAUUGCACGUGUGGGGUUCUUCCCCAGCCCUCAGGUGCGGGGUCUCUGUGCACCGCCCGCCGUCUCCCGCUCCCAGUUCAUCCCAGAUGGUGGGUCCCACUGGCACCCGGCACCCGGCCUGCAAGGCCACCUGUCCCCCAGAUGCUGCUACAAGUGACCAGUACUGUGUGGAGGAGGCGAAGGGCCCCCCCAGGAAACCGGGCUUCAACAGUGAAAG